This 406-nucleotide ribosomal RNA is filed under the name uncultured bacterium. RNAcentral describes it as "partial 16S ribosomal RNA". It matches the Rfam family "Bacterial small subunit ribosomal RNA", at positions 30 to 526 of the family's 1533-position model. The record is from RNAcentral.
AUUGAACGCUGGCGGCAGGCCUAACACAUGUAAGUCGAACGAGUGGCGGACGGGUGAGUAAUGUCUGGGAAACUGCCCGCUGGAGGGGGAUAACUACUGGAAACGGUAGCUAAUACCGCAUACCAUCGGAUGUGCCCAGAUGGGAUUAGCUAGUUGGUGGGGUAACGGCUCACCUGGGCGACGAUCCCUAGCUGGUAUGAGAGGAUGACCAGCCACCCGGUAACUGAGUCACGGGCCAGACUCCUACGGGAGGACGCAGGGGAGAAGAGUGCACUAUGGCCGCAAGCGUGAUGCAGCCAUGCAGCGUGGAUGAAGAGGGCCUGCGGGUUGUAAAGUACUAUCAGCGAGGAGGCGUUAUUCGCAGAAGAAGCACCGGCUAACUCCGUGCCAGCAGCCGCAGUAAUAC